AGAGUUUGAUCCUGGCUCAGAUUGAACGCUGGCGGCAGGCCUAACACAUGCAAGUCGAGCGGAUGAGGGGAGCUUGCUUCCUGAUUCAGCGGCGGACGGGGGAGUAAUGCCUAGGAAUCUGCCCGAUAGUGGGGGACAACGUUUCGAAAGGAACGCUAAUACCGCAUACGUCCUACGGGAGAAAGCAGGGGACCUUCGGGCCUUGCGCUAUCGGAUGAGCCUAGGUCGGAUUAGCUAGUUGGUGGGGUAAAGGCUCACCAAGGCGACGAUCCGUAACUGGUCUGAGAGGAUGAUCAGUCACACUGGAACUGAGACACGGUCCAGACUCCUACGGGAGGCAGCAGUGGGGAAUAUUGGACAAUGGGCGAAAGCCUGAUCCAGCCAUGCCGCGUGUGUGAAGAAGGUCUUCGGAUUGUAAAGCACUUUAAGCUGGGAGGAAGGGCAGUAAGUUAAUACCUUGCUGUUUUGACGUUACCCAAGGAGGAAGCACCGGCUAACUACGUGCCAGCAGCCGCGGUAAUACGUAGGGUGCGAGCGUUAAUCGGAAUUACUGGGCGUAAAGCGUGCGCAGGCGGUUAUAUAAGACAGAUGUGAAAUCCCCGGGCUCAACCUGGGAACUGCAUUAGUGACUGUAUAGCUAGAGUGCGGCAGAGGGGGAUGGAAUUCCGCGUGUAGCAGUGAAAUGCGUAGAUAUGCGGAGGAACACCGAUGGCGAAGGCAAUCCCCUGGGCCUGCACUGACGCUCAUGCACGAAAGCGUGGGGAGCAAACAGGAUUAGAUACCCUGGUAGUCCACGCCCUAAACGAUGUCAACUGGUUGUUGGGUCUUCACUGACUCAGUAACGAAGCUAACGCGUGAAGUUGACCGCCUGGGGAGUACGGCCGCAAGGUUAAAACUCAAAGGAAUUGACGGGGACCCGCACAAGCGGUGGAUGAUGUGGUUUAAUUCGAUGCAACGCGAAAAACCUUACCCACCUUUGACAUCUGUGGAAUUUGCCAGAGAUGGUUUAGUGCUCGAAAGAGAACCGUAACACAGGUGCUGCAUGGCUGUCGUCAGCUCGUGUCGUGAGAUGUUGGGUUAAGUCCCGCAACGAGCGCAACCCUUGCCAUUAGUUGCUACAUUCAGUUGGGCACUUUAAUGGGACUGCCGGUGACAAACCGGAGGAAGGUGGGGAUGACGUCAAGUCCUCAUGGCCCUUAUGGCCAGGGCUUCACACGUAAUACAAUGGUCGGUACAGAGGGCAGCCAACCCGCGAGGGGGAGCCAAUCCCAGAAAGCCGAUCGUAGUCCGGAUUGCAGUCUGCAACUCGACUGCAUGAAGUCGGAAUCGCUAGUAAUCGCGGAUCAGCAUGUCGCGGUGAAUACGUUCCCGGGCCUUGUACACACCGCCCGUCACACCAUGGGAGUGGGUUCUACCAGAAGUAGUUAGCCUAACCGUAAGGAGGGCGAUUACCACGGUAGGAUUCAUGACUGGGGUGAAGUCGUAACAAGGUAACCC
Molecule: ribosomal RNA, 1497 nt
Filed under: uncultured bacterium
Lineage: Bacteria
Description: partial 16S ribosomal RNA
Rfam family: Bacterial small subunit ribosomal RNA
Source: RNAcentral